Molecule: ribosomal RNA, 468 nt
Filed under: uncultured bacterium
Lineage: Bacteria
Description: partial 16S ribosomal RNA
Rfam family: Bacterial small subunit ribosomal RNA
Source: RNAcentral
GACGAACGCUGGCGGCGUGCUUAACACAUGCAAGUCGAACGGAAAGGCCCUGCUUUUGUGGGGUGCUCGAGUGGCGAACGGGUGAGUAACACGUGAGUAACCUGCCCUUUACUUUGGGAUAACUUCAGGAAACUGGGGCUAAUACCGGAUAGUAGCUCCUGCUGCAUGGUGGGGGUUGGAAAGUUUCGGCGGUUGGGGAUGGACUCGCGGCUUAUCAGCUUGUUGGUGGGGUAGUGGCUUACCAAGGCUUUGACGGGUAGCCGGCCUGAGAGGGUGACCGGCCACAUUGGGACUGAGAUACGGCCAAGACUCAUACGGGAGGAAGCAGUGGGGAAUAUUGCACAAUGGGCGGAAGCCUGAUGCAGCAACGCCGCGUGCGGGAUGACGGCCUUCGGGUUGUAAACCGCUUUCGCCUGUGACGAAGCGUGAGUGACGGUAAUGGGUAAAGAAGCACCGGCUAACUACGUG